This 505-nucleotide ribosomal RNA is filed under the name uncultured bacterium. RNAcentral's name for it is "partial 16S ribosomal RNA". It matches the Rfam family "Bacterial small subunit ribosomal RNA", at positions 28 to 507 of the family's 1533-position model. The record is from RNAcentral.
GACGAACGCUGGCGGCGUGCCUAAUACAUGCAAGUAGAACGCACAGUUUAUACCGUAGCUUGCUACACCAUAGACUGUGAGUUGCGAACGGGUGAGUAACGCGUAGGUAACCUGCCUGGUAGCGGGGGAUAACUAUUGGAAACGAUAGCUAAUACCGCAUAAUAUUAAUUAUUGCAUGAUAAUUAAUUGAACGGUGCAAUUGCACCACUACCAGAUGGACCUGCGUUGUAUUAGCUAGUAGGUGAGGUAACGGCUCACCUAGGCGACGAUACAUAGCCGACCUGAGAGGGUGAUCGGCCACACUGAGACUGAGACACGGCCCAGACUCCUACGGGAGGCAGCAGUAGGGAAUCUUCGGCAAUGGACGAAAGUCUGACCGAGCAACGCCGCGUGAGUGAAGAAGGGUUUCGGAUCGUAAAGCUCUGUUGUAAGAGAAGAACGGGUGUGAGAGUGGAAAGUUCACACUGUGACGGUAGCUUACCAGAAAGGGACGGCUAACUACGUG